RNAcentral lists this ribosomal RNA (252 nucleotides) under uncultured Gardnerella sp. RNAcentral describes it as "partial 16S ribosomal RNA". It matches the Rfam family "Bacterial small subunit ribosomal RNA", at positions 103 to 354 of the family's 1533-position model. The record is from RNAcentral. Lineage: Bacteria; Bacillati; Actinomycetota; Actinomycetes; Bifidobacteriales; Bifidobacteriaceae.
CGGGUGAGUAAUGCGUGACCAACCUGCUCCAUGCUCCAGAAUAGCUCUUGGAAACGGGUGGUAAUGCUGGAUGCUCCAACUUGACGCAUGUCUUGUUGGGAAAGUGUUUAGUGGCAUGGGAUGGGGUCGCGUCCUAUCAGCUUGUAGGCGGGGUAAUGGCCCACCUAGGCUUCGACGGGUAGCCGGCCUGAGAGGGCGGACGGCCACAUUGGGACUGAGAUACGGCCCAGACUCCUACGGGAGGCAGCAGAC